Molecule: ribosomal RNA, 476 nt
Filed under: uncultured Pseudomonadota bacterium
Lineage: Bacteria; Pseudomonadati; Pseudomonadota
Description: bacterial SSU rRNA
Rfam family: Bacterial small subunit ribosomal RNA
Source: RNAcentral
AACGAACGCUGGCGGCGUGCCUAACACAUGCAAGUCGAACGGGAAGGCCUUGAGCUAGUACCGUGGCGAACGGGUGAGUAACGCGUGGGUAAUCUACCUUUGGGUGGGGGAUAACCAUUUGAAAAGAUGGCUAAUACCGCAUGAGGCUAUUGGAGGGAGACUUCCGAUGGUGAAAGGGCUUUUAGCCUGUCUGAAGAUGAGCCUGCGUCCCAUUAGUUAGUUGGUAAGGUAACGGCUUACCAAGACGGAGAUGGGUAGCUGGUCUGAGAGGACGAUCAGCCACACUGGGACUGAGACACGGCCCAGACUCCUACGGGAGGCAGCAGUGGGGAAUAUUGCGCAAUGGGGGGAACCCUGACGCAGCAACGCCGCGUGGGUGAUGAAGGCCUUCGGGUUGUAAAGCCCUGUCAGGUGGAACGAACGGUCUAUUUAGGUAGAUGUGACGGUACCACCAAAGGAAGCACCGGCUAACUCCG